UGGGGAAUUUUGGACAAUGGGCGAAAGCCUGAUCCAGCAAUGCCGCGUGUGUGAAGAAGGCCUUCGGGUUGUAAAGCACUUUUGUCAGGAACGAAACGGUCUGUGUUAAUACCAUGGGCUAAUGACGGUACCUGAAGAAUAAGCACCGGCUAACUACGUGCCAGCAGCCGCGGUAAUACGUAGGGUGCAAGCGUUAAUCGGAAUUACUGGGCGUAAAGCGUGCGCAGGCGGCUUUGUAAGACGGAUGUGAAAGCCCCGGGCUCAACCUGGGAAGUGCAUUCGUGACUGCAAGGCUAGAGUGUGUCAGAGGGAGGUGGAAUUCCGCGUGUAGCAGUGAAAUGCGUAGAGAUGCGGAGGAACACCGAUGGCGAAGGCAGCCUCCUGGGAUAACACUGACGCUCAUGCACGAAAGCGUGGGGAGCAAACA
This 427-nucleotide ribosomal RNA is filed under the name uncultured Burkholderiales bacterium. RNAcentral's name for it is "partial 16S ribosomal RNA". It matches the Rfam family "Bacterial small subunit ribosomal RNA", at positions 355 to 774 of the family's 1533-position model. The record is from RNAcentral. Lineage: Bacteria; Pseudomonadati; Pseudomonadota; Betaproteobacteria; Burkholderiales.